GGCUCACACACAUCCUUCACACUCCUCAGCAAAGCUCUUAGGAUGACCCAAGUACAGGAGGGCCAUCAUGAAGGACAGCUGCCUCUCUGGCGCAAUCUCCCUCAUAGGAAAACGGGGUUUCUCUGUGUAACCUGGGCUGGUAUGGAGCUCACUCUGUAGACCAGGCUGGCCUCGAACUCAUAGAGAUCCACCUGCCUCUGCCUCCCUGGGUGCUGGGAUUAAAGAUGUCUGUCUCUGAGGUGAUUCUGGAUCCUGUCAGAUUGGCAGCCGGUGUUAACCGUAACACACACACACACACACACACACACACACACCCCACUCCAGGUGAGGGUGAAGAAGGAAAGCCAGGGACGGCAGCUCUCCUUGGGCACAUACAUGUACCGGCCAGUGCUGCGCGGCGGCAGAGAGGCUGGUGUGACUGGACCGCUAGGAGGAUACAGCAACUGGGACCAGUGCGUCUGAGAGGCCUGUUGGAAGUGGCCCUAAAACGUGGGACUCCGGCAAGGAGUUGAGAUGGGGCACAAACGCAGGUCAUGGUAAUCUUGUGAAGGUCAGAGGACAGUUCUUGGGAGCUGAGUCUCCAUCUUCCAUGGAUUCUUCAGACUUUUACCUACUAACUCAUCUUGCUAGCCUGAGGUGCGGUGGCUCCUCAGCAGCUAGAGUGGAGAGACAGCGCUCUGCAGAUUCCAGGCCGAGGCGCCUCAGCCUGGCCAAAACACGCCUGCGGUCAAAUGGAGCCAGCUGCCCCCUCACACACCUUCACCCCUCAAGGUGCUCUUAGGUGAAAGUGGGGCAGAAGCAUCCGGGGGGAAUCUGAUAGCGCAGCCGGCCUCAAAACCGGAAAUUCUUCUGAACUCUCAUUUCAUCCUCCCAUUGUCAAGUGAAUUUUUCAUGACAGGCCAUAAAAUAUCCAUGUGUGCUUUAUUAUUAAAAUGUCCUAAAUGACUUUCCAGCUAGUUACCUAACUUCCGCCCCUCCCUCACAUGAAGCAGAAUUGGCCAUGGUACCCAUUAGCUCCCAACAGGUUCCCAGGACCCAUCUCCCGGACUGGAUGCGUGAAAACCGCUGCUCAGUUCCCGGGCUGCCAUGCAGGACUGAGUUAGCAACCCAGAGCCCCUGCUCCCCCCACCACU
Molecule: long non-coding RNA, 1133 nt
Organism: Meriones unguiculatus (Mongolian gerbil)
Lineage: Eukaryota; Metazoa; Chordata; Mammalia; Rodentia; Muridae
Exons: 5
Source: RefSeq, a predicted model, not a curated record